Molecule: ribosomal RNA, 253 nt
Filed under: uncultured bacterium
Lineage: Bacteria
Description: partial 16S ribosomal RNA
Rfam family: Bacterial small subunit ribosomal RNA
Source: RNAcentral
UACGUAGGGGGCAAGCGUUGUCCGGAUUUAUUGGGCGUAAAGAGCGUGUAGGCGGCUAGGUAGGUCCGUUGUGAAAACUCGAGGCUCAACCUCGAGACGUCGGUUGAAACCGUAAGGCUAGAGUCCGGAAGAGGAGAGUGGAAUUCCCGGUGUAGCGGUGAAAUGCGCAGAUAUCGGGAAGAACACCCGUGGCGAAGGCGGCUCUCUGGGACGGUACUGACGCUGAGACGCGAAAGCGUGGGGAGCGAACAGG